GCCAGCAGCCAUAUCACCCUGCAGCUCUCAACUGGCUACCCACUGAAGCUAAGCAGUGUUGAGCCUGGUCAGUACUUGGAUGUGAGACUUCCUGGGAAGCUAUGGCUGCUGCUGGAA
RNAcentral lists this ribosomal RNA (117 nucleotides) under Lepisosteus oculatus (spotted gar). The record is from RNAcentral. Lineage: Eukaryota; Metazoa; Chordata; Actinopteri; Semionotiformes; Lepisosteidae.